RNAcentral lists this ribosomal RNA (575 nucleotides) under Aspergillus bisporus. RNAcentral's name for it is "eukaryotic LSU rRNA". It matches the Rfam family "Eukaryotic large subunit ribosomal RNA", at positions 58 to 648 of the family's 3401-position model. The record is from RNAcentral. Lineage: Eukaryota; Fungi; Ascomycota; Eurotiomycetes; Eurotiales; Aspergillaceae.
AAAGAAACCAACCGGGAUUGCCCCAGUAACGGCGAGUGAAGCGGCAAGAGCUCAAAUUUGAAAUCUGGCCCCCCCGGGGUCCGAGUUGUAAUUUGCAGAGGAUGCUUCGGGUGCGGCCCCCGUCUAAGUGCCCUGGAACGGGCCGUCAGAGAGGGUGAGAAUCCCGUCCUGGGCGGGGAGUCCGCGCCCGUGUGAAGCUCCUUCGACGAGUCGAGUUGUUUGGGAAUGCAGCUCUAAAUGGGUGGUAAAUUUCAUCUAAAGCUAAAUACCGGCCGGAGACCGAUAGCGCACAAGUAGAGUGAUCGAAAGAUGAAAAGCACUUUGAAAAGAGAGUUAAACAGCACGUGAAAUUGUUGAAAGGGAAGCGCUUGCGACCAGACUCGCCCCCGGGGUUCAGCCGGCACUCGUGCCGGUGCACUCCCCGUCGGGCGGGCCAGCGUCGGUUUGGGCGGCCGGUCAAAGGCCUCCGGAAUGUGUCGCCCUCCGGGGCGUCUUAUAGCCGGGGGUGCAAUGCGGCCAGCCCGGACCGAGGAACGCGCUUCGGCACGGACGCUGGCGUAAUGGUCGUAAACGAC